RNAcentral lists this ribosomal RNA (368 nucleotides) under uncultured organism. RNAcentral's name for it is "bacterial SSU rRNA". It matches the Rfam family "Bacterial small subunit ribosomal RNA", at positions 526 to 896 of the family's 1533-position model. The record is from RNAcentral.
CGUAGGUGGCAAGCGUUGUCCGGAUUUAUUGGGUUGAAGGGUGCGUAGGCGGCCCUGUAAGUCAGUGCUGAAAUCCCCCGGCGUUAACCGGGGUGGUGGCAUUGAUACUGCAGGGCUUGAGUACAGAUGAGGUGGGCGGAAUUGACGGUGUAGCGGUGAAAUGCAUAGAUAUCGUCAAGAACACCGAUAGCGAAGGCAGCUUACAGGGCUGUAACUGACGCUGAUGCACGAAAGUGUGGGGAUCAAACAGGAUUAGAUACCCUGGUAGUCCACACUGUAAACGUUGAUUACUCGCUGUUUGCGAUACACAGCAAGCGGCUUAGCGAAAGCGAUAAGUAAUCCACCUGGGGAGUACGCCGGCAACGGUG